GAUGAACGCUGGCGGCGCGCCUAACACAUGCAAGUCGAACGAUUAAAGCACCUUCGGGUGUGUAUAAAGUGGCGAACGGCUGAGUAACACGUGGGCAACCUGCCCCUCUCAUUGGGAUAGCCACGGGAAACCGUGGAUAAUACCGAAUACUUCGAGUCUCCCGCAUGGAAGACUCGAGAAAGCUCCGGCGGAGAGGGAUGGGCCCGCGGCCUGUCAGCUUGUUGGUGGGGUAAUGGCCUACCAAGGCAAUGAUGGGUAGCUGGGUUGAGAGACCGACCAGCCAGAUUGGGACUGAGACACGGCCCAGACUCCUACGGGAGGCAGCAGUGGGGAAUCUUGCACAAUGGGCGAAAGCCUGAUGCAGCGACGCCGCGUGCGGGAUGAAGGCCUUCGGGUUGUAAACCGCUUUCAGCAGGGACGAGGCGAAAGUGACGGUACCUGCAGAAGAAGCCCCGGCUAACUACGUGCCAGCAGCCGCGGUAAUACGUAGGGGGCAAGCGUUAUCCGGAUUCAUUGGGCGUAAAGCGCUCGUAGGCGGUCUGUUAGGUCGGGAGUUAAAUCCGGGGGCUCAACCCCCGUUCGCUCCCGAUACCGGCAGACUUGAGUUUGGUAGGGGAAGGUGGAAUUCCUAGUGUAGCGGUGGAAUGCGCAGAUAUUAGGAAGAACACCAGUGGCGAAGGCGGCCUUCUGGGCCAUAACUGACGCUGAGGAGCGAAAGCUAGGGGAGCAAACAGG
This 735-nucleotide ribosomal RNA is filed under the name uncultured Atopobium sp. RNAcentral describes it as "bacterial SSU rRNA". It matches the Rfam family "Bacterial small subunit ribosomal RNA", at positions 28 to 776 of the family's 1533-position model. The record is from RNAcentral. Lineage: Bacteria; Bacillati; Actinomycetota; Coriobacteriia; Coriobacteriales; Atopobiaceae.